CCUCAUUAAAGAUUAAAACAAAAUUAAAUUACAUUAGACACAUUUAAAACUUGACGGUGUCACCGUCAAGUUUUAAAUGUGUGGAAAUGUGUCCUAUCGAAUAAAUAGAAUAGAAUAGAAGAGAAGAGAAGCAGUGGUGGAUCCAAGGUUUGAACCCCCUUUUUUUGGACGAUCAAUGCAUUUGAAUUGGGACAUGUAGUUGGACCCCCCCCCCCUUUUUUUGUCGUGGGUCAUGAACCCCCCUAUUUAAAAUGGCUGGAUCCGCCCAUGAGAAGUUUAAAUCGGGGUUACAUGAACAUUACAAACAUAAGCUUGGCAGUACUAGUAGAGUUUCGUAUCAACAUUGCUACCUUUCCAAUUUAAAAACAUUAGCAUAAUAAAUAUCUUUAUCACGCUUAAGGACUAUAGUCAACUUCAUGUGCUACAUUUGACUUUUUAAGAUAUACGCAUUUAAAAGAUGAUAUAUUCUAAAUGUACACACGUUUU
This 486-nucleotide long non-coding RNA is filed under the name Mytilus galloprovincialis (Mediterranean mussel). The record is from RNAcentral. Lineage: Eukaryota; Metazoa; Mollusca; Bivalvia; Mytilida; Mytilidae.